This is a long non-coding RNA of Microplitis mediator, 492 nucleotides long. RefSeq lists it as uncharacterized. The record is from RefSeq and is a predicted model, not a curated record. NCBI's taxonomy places the organism in Eukaryota, Metazoa, Arthropoda, Insecta, Hymenoptera, Braconidae. The transcript is spliced from 3 exons.
GUUUUUUAAGUAUUGAGUUGAAGAUCAAUGUAACAAUUGUGCAAACCUGAUAAAAUACGUAACAACACUAUGAAUAUAAAUAUCGCGAUUAUUGACAAUAAAUUUAAUACUCAGUAAUCGGUCUUACUAGCAAGUCCUCGCAUCGUUAUUUCAUACGUAGAGACCAACUUAUUGUUAAAAAAAUGAUUUCUAUAACAAUGUCCAAGUUCACUAUUGUUUUAUUUUUGCUUACAUUGAUGGCGAUUGGCUCGUUUGCAUGCGUUGCACAUGGAGACGAUUGUAAUUCAGGUGAUGUAUGUUGUGAUGGCGAUCAUUGCAGAGCAAACUAUUUUGGCCGCAUGACAUGUGGAAGACGCUCAUAAACUACAGGAUUUUGGAGGUGACAUAUUCGGUGGUUACUAUGUCUACCUUUUAAUUUUUUUAUUUCAGUAUUAUAAUAUUUAUUAAUAUUGUAAUGGUUAUCAUCUGAAUAAAAAUAAUUCCCACCAUGAA